CUCAGGGCUGCUUUUUUCCUGCAGAGAAGUGUGCAGUGAGGGACUUGGGCAGACAGCAUGAGAGGCAGAGUCUUUGCUUACCUGGAGGUUGCCUUCUAAUGUACUGGGCUCCUGGGAGUGCAUGAAGGCUUCUUAGAUGAAGAGUAAUGGGGAUGUCUUACACAGCAAGAUGAGAAAACACAGACCACUUGGCUCUCUAGCGAGGACCAGAAUUUGAGUCAAAAUUAUAUGCAUGUCCCAGCAAAGCUUCGCAAAGAUGUCAGUAUUAAUUGUCACCAUCCUCCAGGGAGAAAGCAACAGCCCACAAUUGCCUGCAUUUUCUUUCCUCUUCAAAACCACUUCUGCUCCAAAGACCAUGAACCUGAACUGAAGAAACGACUCCUUCCUGCUGGUGUGAGAUAAUUCAGUCUCCAUGAUGUCUUAAUCCUGGGCCUCCCUUAAUUGACUUCUAACUGUGCUGAACUGUGGCUGCUAGGAGUUGCAAUGUGGAUCGCAAUUUACAAGGAAGAGAAAAAGACCGGUCUCUGUUUGGAAAUUACAAACAUAGAAGAACUUAGAAACAAUGGGUUUCUAGAUUGGGUGGAAGGACUGGCUUGGGAUCCUGAGAGAGCAAGAAAAGUUUACCGGGAGCUUCAGAAAAAGUUAUUCAUCAUUUUUGGAGUGGAUAUUCAGAAGUGACUUCCCUCUUUUGCUCUGGUGCCUGGCUACUUCAAGAGUUGAGCUAAUCACAGGGAAGAUUCAGUCUCAGUUCAGCUGCCUCAUUUGAUCAGCUCAAGACUGAGUCCAACAAAAGUGGUCUGUCUAAUGAAACUCAUUUUCAUUUUUUCUCAUUAGUCUAUACACGAUUGAGACUGUAGAACGACAAAAGAAUAAAAAGAAGAAUGACAAUUAAAAAUCAUUUUCUCUGGCCCUUGAUUUUUGCCUUCUUUUUUUUAAAUGUAGUUACGUGCUCAUUUUUUGUUUCUUUUUUAUUCUCUGCUCUUCUUUUCUAUUGAUUUUCCCAUUUAUGAAGGGGGAAUUAGUAAAUCCAUGGUCUGAGUGCUGAGAUGUUCUGAUAGGCCUUCAAGUUUUCAGCUGUACUCUGAAUCAGAAUAAUAUACUCCAUCAAGGAGACUGACAUUGGCACCACCUUCCCAGAAAUCCAGGAGCGCCUUUGCAUGAGGAAAAGCAGAAGGGAGUAAAGUCAUGAAACAUUGUGUGUGUGUUUGUAUAAAACUGUAUAUUUUUGCUCACAUAUAAUAACUAUAUAUUUCUGCUAAUUUUUCCUUUUAAAGGCUAUUAAGUUACUUAAAAUCCAUUGCCUAAUAAAACUGCAAUUCACCUUUGUAAUUCACUCAUUUGUUUGCUGUCACAGGGAAGAUAGAAAUUGAGCACGUUUUCGGCUGGGUGUGGUGGCUCACGCCUGUAAUCCUAGCACUUGGGGAGGCCGAGGUGGGCGGAUCACGAGGUCAGGAGAUCGAGACCAUCCUGGCUAACAUGGUGAAACCUCGUCUCCACUA
Molecule: long non-coding RNA, 1499 nt
Filed under: Homo sapiens (human)
Lineage: Eukaryota; Metazoa; Chordata; Mammalia; Primates; Hominidae
Description: HSALNT0140392
Source: RNAcentral